This 429-nucleotide ribosomal RNA is filed under the name Bacteroidota bacterium. Its description in RNAcentral is "Bacteroidetes bacterium partial 16S ribosomal RNA". It matches the Rfam family "Bacterial small subunit ribosomal RNA", at positions 355 to 776 of the family's 1533-position model. Lineage: Bacteria; Pseudomonadati; Bacteroidota. The record is from RNAcentral.
UAGGGAAUCUUCCGCAAUGGACGCAAGUCUGACGGAGCAACGCCGCGUGAGUGAAGAAGGAUUUCGGUUCGUAAAACUCUGUUGUUAGAGAAGAACAGCGCAUAGAGUAACUGUUAUGCGUGUGACGGUAUCUAACCAGAAAGCCACGGCUAACUACGUGCCAGCAGCCGCGGUAAUACGUAGGUGGCAAGCGUUGUCCGGAUUUAUUGGGCGUAAAGCGAGCGCAGGCGGUCAAUUAAGUCUGAUGUGAAAGCCCCCGGCUCAACCGGGGAGGGUCAUUGGAAACUGGUUGACUUGAGGGCAGAAGAGGAGGGUGGAAUUCCAUGUGCAGCGGUGAACUGAGUAGAUAUAUGGAGGAACACCAGUGGCGAAGGCGACUCUCUGGUCUGUAACUGACGCGGAGGCUCGAAAGCGUGGGUAGCAAACAGG